UUUCUAUAAAACUUAAGUAUUGAAAACAACUCGAGAUUGUGUCUGACUUUGGUGCUACUGGUAUUCCACCCCACACAACCUCUAGGAAGAUUGCAUGAUGCUCUGCAUGAAGCAGCACUCUUCAGAUCAAUGCAGUUUGAUAAGUUCUGGUCACCUCCGUGGGUGUGGCAAUGGACAAAUCUCACAAGGUUCUCCUGACUUACAUGCAGAAACUCUUGUUUCAAUGGAGGUGGGCUGAUGGGGGAUGCCUGAAUUCUGCUGGCACUAGUGGUUUCACCAGUAAUAAAGGGUAAAGUGUGAAUAGUAAAAGCAGAGGCAGAAGAGGAGACAGAGAGCUUGGACCAGCAAAACAUGAAGAAAAGGGGCUCAGUGGAGCUUUCUCAGGCAGUCUGCUCAGGGUUUUUGUUUAAUUUUUUAAAAAAUUUUACUUUUUGUGUUUGUUUGUUUGGUAUUUUUCUGUAAAAUCCUGUGCACCCAAAGAUGAAUUAAGGUGGUAUUCUUUGUUUGUUUCUUUUGGCAGAGAGAUCUGACUCCUUUUGAAAACGCGAGUAUAUUUUUGUUUGCUGUUUUGCUCGUGUCUGCAUCGAGGCAGACAGACAGUGUGGUUAUUGGAACUGGACCCCUUCAGAGUUCAUCACUAGUGCCACCAAACAUGUUAGAUCUAAAUACAGCCAGACCAGAAAUAAGCUGCUCUCACCAGAGUAAAAGGAGGAGGAUGGGUAGUGUGAGAAUAUUGAAAACUGGAGUGGAUUUUGCUUGAUCUUCUUUAAAGAAGUCACUAGCCGAGGCUGAUUUCUAGAGGUGCCUGCACAGAUGAGGAUGUGAUGUGUCUUGACUACACCCUCUCCUUCCCUGCCAGGGGGUCUGCAGGUGCCCCAAUCAAGAAAUGGCCUUGGAAGGGACCUUAGAGAUCAUGGAAUUUAAAACCUCGCUGCCUUGUUCAUGAACUGCUUCCAGAUGAGCAGGUUGCUCAGAGCCCCAUCCAGCCUGGCCUUGAACAUUUCCAGGGACGGGAAGUUCACAUCCUUUCUGGGAAACCUGUUCUAGUUCCCUCUGUAAGAGCAGAUGAAGUUGUGGCCAGCGAAGAGCAGGGUGAGAACAAGUGAGAGGAGCAACUGUGCAGACACCAAGGCUCACGGAGGAGGAGGAGCUCCAGGCUGUGCAACUGAGAUCCUGAGAUCCCCCUACAGCCCAUGGUGAAAACCAUGGUGAGGCGGCUGUGCCCUUGCAGCCGCUGGGGGACCACAGGGAUGCAGAGAUCCGCUGUGCAGGAGACCUGUGCUGGAGCAGGUGGAUGCUCAAGGCUGUGAACCUGUGGAUAACCCAUGUCACAGCAGAUUCCUGACACAGACCUGCAGACCCGUGGAGGGAGGACCCCAUGCUGGAAUAGGUUUCCUGGUAGGACUUGUGACCCUGUGGAGGACGCAUGUUGGAGCAAGCUGUGCCUGACGGACUGUAUCCCAUGGAAGAGUCACCAGUGUUGCAGCAGCUCAUGGAGAACUGUAUCCCGUGGGAUGGACUCAUGUUGGAGAAGUUCAAGGAGAACUGUCUCCUGUGGACAGUUCUGGAGCAGUGGAAAUGCUCUUCUCCCUAAGGAGCAGGAGAAACGUGUGAUGACCUGACCAUAACCUCCAUUCCCUGUUUCCCUACACUGCAGACUGCCGGGGUAGGAGGUGAAGCUAGGGAAGAGGGAGGGGUAGGGAGAAGGUGUUUUAAAGAUUUUACUUCUCAUUAUCCUGCUCUGAAUUUUUGGGAAUAAAUUCAAAUAAUAUCCCCAACUCAAGUCUUUUUUGCCCAACAUGGUAUUUGGAGCAUGACCUCUCCUAUCUCAACACAUGAACCCUGCAUUAAAUUUUCUCUCCCCUGCUCAGUUGUAGAGGGGAGUGAUAGAAUUACUUUUUUUCCUGGUGUCCAAAAAUUUAGAUCAAUAAAUCGGGAUUCUUUAGUUUCAAACAGGAAGGGAGACAUGAAUACAUCUUCCUGAGGCUCCAGAUAUACAGCUUUACUAUGUUUAUUUUGCCCCAAAGAUUUCUAUCUGUGUUUUAGUAUGUCCAAAUGUAUGUAAAAUAUACAUACUACACAGUAGUUUACUAUUAGCCCAAGGGUUUUUUUCUAAAUGCACGUGUAUCCUCUCACUUGCAAAAUUUAUAUUUUUUCUAUCAACUCAUCAAAAACUGAGACACUAUAUUUUAUUUAUUCAGAGAUCUUAGUUUCCUACUUUUCUGACUGUUAACAGCUCCAAAUGCCUCUAAGUUGUAAUAGAAGCUACUAAUAAAGAUCAGAAUUUAAAAAAAAAUAUUUUGGCUGUGGACUGAAAAUUAGACAGUCAUAAUGAAGGUGGAUGUGGGAAGACAAAGAGUGAAGGAGAGAAAAUGUGAGAUUCAGCAAUGUUAUUCUGACAAGAAACUGAUGGCGUAGGUGGACUUCCAGAGGCUUGUCUGAAUAUUACCUGUGCAGUGAGUUCCUGAUGGGAAUGACAGGAUUCAUUUCAGUGUCUACAAUGAGAGGGGGAAAGAAAAAGAAGGAGAGAGCAAAAAAAAGAAAAAAGGCUUUGUUCAUUAAUCAGCUUGUUAGACAAGAGGAUCUGCUCUAUAAUGAGCUGCCUCUGAGACCUGCAGAAAGAAUUGGAAAUAGUUUUACUAAAGAAGACUGAUAGCUUAAUAUGAAAUGCACCACACUGGACAUUUUAUCACUAAGGUGUGAUGGCCAGAAUUUGGGUGCUAGUAAUAUGACAUUUUUUGGUGCUAUAUAUUGCAUAAAAUAGCCAUGAUACAGCAGAUUAUUUCAGGAAGCAACAAAUAGAAUUGAACAGGAGCUGAUUUGGUCACUACUUAAGUCUACCCGUUACACUCUUGAGAAGUCAGAAUGAAGGUACAUACACUUCCAUUACAUGAGGUCAU
Prinia subflava (tawny-flanked prinia) is the source of this 2900-nucleotide long non-coding RNA. RefSeq lists it as uncharacterized. Lineage: Eukaryota; Metazoa; Chordata; Aves; Passeriformes; Cisticolidae. The transcript is spliced from 3 exons. The record is from RefSeq and is a predicted model, not a curated record.